Molecule: small nucleolar RNA, 80 nt
Filed under: Mastacembelus armatus (zig-zag eel)
Lineage: Eukaryota; Metazoa; Chordata; Actinopteri; Synbranchiformes; Mastacembelidae
Description: Small nucleolar RNA SNORD34 (ENSMAMG00000024773.1)
Rfam family: Small nucleolar RNA SNORD34
About the family: snoRNA U34 is found in intron 5 of the ribosomal protein L13a gene in humans. U34 is a member of the C/D class of snoRNA which contain C (UGAUGA) and D (CUGA) box motifs, and functions in directing site-specific 2'-O-methylation of 25S rRNAs. Although the selection of the target nucleotide requires the antisense element and the conserved box D or D' of the snoRNA, the methyltransferase activity is thought to reside in one of the protein components.
Source: Rfam by way of RNAcentral
GCUGUCUGUGAUGUUAUUCUAAUUACCUUACCAACCUUGUUUGAAUUUCUUCUUGAAAAGAAAUUGUGUCUGAGACAUGC